AGAGUUUGAUCCUGGCUCAGGAUGAACGCUAGCGGCAGGCUUAACACAUGCAAGUCGAGGGGCAGCGGGAGUAGCAAUACUUGCCGGCGACCGGCGCAAGGGUGCGUAACGCGUGAGCAACAUGCCCGUAUCAGGGGGAUAAUCCAGGGAAACUUGGUCUAAUACCCCAUAGUAAUCUUAGGAGGCAUCUUUUAAGAUUUAAAGCUUUGGUGGAUACGGAUUGGCUCGCGUGACAUUAGCUAGAUGGUAGGGUAACGGCCUACCAUGGCUACGAUGUCUAGGGGUUCUGAGAGGAAGAUCCCCCACACUGGAACUGAGACACGGUCCAGACUCCUACGGGAGGCAGCAGUGAGGAAUAUUGGACAAUGGAUGGAAAUCUGAUCCAGCCAUGCCGCGUGCAGGAAGACUGCCCUAUGGGUUGUAAACUGCUUUUGUAUGGGAGCAAUAAGCCCUUCGUGAAGGGUGAUGAGAGUACCAUACGAAUAAGCAUCGGCUAACUCCGUGCCAGCAGCCGCGGUAAUACGGAGGAUGCAAGCGUUAUCCGGAUUUAUUGGGUUUAAAGGGUGCGUAGGCGGUUGGAUAAGUCAGCGGUGAAAGUUUUCUGCUUAACAGGAAAAAUGCCGUUGAUACUGUCUGGCUAGAAUAUGGUUGCUGUGAGUGGAAUGUGUGGUGUAGCGGUGAAAUGCUUAGAUAUCACACAGAAUAUCGAUUGCGAAGGCAGCUCACAAAGCCAUUAUUGACGCUGAGGCACGAAAGUGUGGGGAUCAAACAGGAUUAGAUACCCCGGUAGU
Molecule: ribosomal RNA, 791 nt
Filed under: uncultured bacterium
Lineage: Bacteria
Description: bacterial SSU rRNA
Rfam family: Bacterial small subunit ribosomal RNA
Source: RNAcentral